RNAcentral lists this ribosomal RNA (253 nucleotides) under uncultured bacterium. RNAcentral describes it as "partial 16S ribosomal RNA". It matches the Rfam family "Bacterial small subunit ribosomal RNA", at positions 524 to 776 of the family's 1533-position model. The record is from RNAcentral.
UACAGAGGGGGCAAGCGUUAUUCGGAAUUAUUGGGCGUAAAGGGCGCGUAGGCGGCCUUUCAAGUGACGGGUGAAAUCCCCCGGCUUAACCGGGGAACUGCCUGUCAGACUGGGAGGCUUGAGACCGGGAGAGGUGAGUGGAAUUCCCAGUGUAGCGGUGAAAUGCGUAGAGAUCGGGAAGAAUACCAGUGGCGAAGGCGUUCUGCUGGGCCGUUGCUGACACUGAGGCGCGACAGCGUGGGGAGCAAACAGG